RNAcentral lists this ribosomal RNA (503 nucleotides) under uncultured bacterium. Its description in RNAcentral is "partial 16S ribosomal RNA". It matches the Rfam family "Bacterial small subunit ribosomal RNA", at positions 28 to 523 of the family's 1533-position model. The record is from RNAcentral.
GUUGACCGCUGGCGGCAGGCUUAACACAUGCAAGUCGAGCGGGGUGAUGGUGCUUGCACUAUCACUUAGCGGCGGACGGGUGAGUAAUGCUUAGGAAUCUGCCUAUUAGUGGGGGACAACAUCUCGAAAGGGAUGCUAAUACCGCAUACGUCCUACGGGAGAAAGCAGGGGAUCACUUGUGACCUUGCGCUAAUAGAUGAGCCUAAGUCGGAUUAGCUAGUUGGUGGGGUAAAGGCCUACCAAGGCGACGAUCUGUAGCGGGUCUGAGAGGAUGAACCGCCACACUGGGAAUGAGACACGGCCCAGGAGCCUACGGGAGGCAGCAGUGGGGAAUAUUGGACAAUGGGGGGAACCCUGAUCCAGCCAUGCCGCGUGUGUGAAGAAGGCCUUACGGUUGUAAAGCACUUUAAGCGAGGAGGAGGCUCUUUUGGUUAAUACCCAAGAUGAGUGGACGUUACUCGCAGAAUAAGCACCGGCUAACUCUGUGCCAGCCGCCGCAGUAA